RNAcentral lists this ribosomal RNA (253 nucleotides) under uncultured bacterium. RNAcentral describes it as "partial 16S ribosomal RNA". It matches the Rfam family "Bacterial small subunit ribosomal RNA", at positions 524 to 776 of the family's 1533-position model. The record is from RNAcentral.
GACAGAGGGUGCAAACGUUGUUCGGAAUUACUGGGCGUAAAGCGAGUGUAGGCGGUUUCUUAAGUCGGAUGUGAAAGCCCAGGGCUCAACCCUGGAAGUGCACUCGAUACUGCGAGGCUAGAGUACUGGAGAGGUUGGUGGAAUUCUCGGUGUAGAGGUGAAAUUCGUAGAUAUCGAGAGGAACACCGGUGGCGAAGGCGGCCAACUGGACAGAUACUGACGCUGAGACUCGAAAGCGUGGGGAGCAAACAGG